AAAUGAAUUGACGGGGACCCGCACAAGCAGCGGAGCAUGUGGUUUAAUUCGAAGCAACGCGAAGAACCUUACCAAGGCUUGACAUCCCUUGACCGCCAUGGAAACAUGGCUUCCCUUCGGGGCAAGGAGACAGGUGGUGCAUGGUUGUCGUCAGCUCGUGUCGUGAGAUGUUGGGUUAAGUCCCGCAACGAGCGCAACCCUUGUCAUUAGUUGCCAGCACGUAAAGGUGGGAACUCUAAUGAGACUGUCGGGGACAACUCGGAGGAAGGUGGGGACGACGUCAAAUCAUCAUGCCCCUUAUGUCUUGGGCUACACACGUGCUACAAUGGCCGGUACAAAGGGCUGCGAAACCGCAAGGUGGAGCGAAUCCCAAAAAGCCGGUCCCAGUUCGGAUUGUGGGCUGCAACCCGCCCACAUGAAGCCGGAGUUGCUAGUAAUCGCGAAUCAGCAUGUCGCGGUGAAUGCGUUCCCGGGUCUUGUACACACCGCCCGU
Molecule: ribosomal RNA, 493 nt
Filed under: uncultured bacterium
Lineage: Bacteria
Description: bacterial SSU rRNA
Rfam family: Bacterial small subunit ribosomal RNA
Source: RNAcentral